GCGCCAUUAGCUCAGCUGGUAGAGCAACUGACUCUUAAUCAGUGGGUCCUGGGUUCGAAUCCCCGAUGGCGCA
Molecule: transfer RNA, 73 nt
Filed under: Lutispora thermophila DSM 19022
Lineage: Bacteria; Bacillati; Bacillota; Clostridia; Lutisporales; Lutisporaceae
Rfam family: tRNA
About the family: Transfer RNA (tRNA) molecules are approximately 80 nucleotides in length. Their secondary structure includes four short double-helical elements and three loops (D, anti-codon, and T loops).
Source: Rfam by way of RNAcentral